Molecule: transfer RNA, 73 nt
Filed under: Dobsonia sp. 050810x2F
Lineage: Eukaryota; Metazoa; Chordata; Mammalia; Chiroptera; Pteropodidae
Description: tRNA-Ser
Rfam family: tRNA
About the family: Transfer RNA (tRNA) molecules are approximately 80 nucleotides in length.
Source: RNAcentral
GAGAAAGACAUAAUGGUUAUGGUGUUGGCUUGAAACCAAUUGUAGGGGGUUCGAAUCCUUCCUUUCUUGUUUA